Long non-coding RNA from Gymnogyps californianus (California condor), 1415 nucleotides. RefSeq lists it as uncharacterized. NCBI's taxonomy places the organism in Eukaryota, Metazoa, Chordata, Aves, Accipitriformes, Cathartidae. The transcript has 4 exons. The record is from RefSeq and is a predicted model, not a curated record.
CUGAUAAAUUCAGUGUUUUGAACUGUCUAGAAGUGAUUUGUGUGUUAACUCUUACUUAAGAACAGAUUUCCUGGCUUCAGAAACUUGAUUGCCUAAUGUGCAGUAACAGCAAGCUGAAUGAGAUGGGCAUACAGGAGAAAUUAUCAUCUAUCAGGUGUUUUAAUGGCCUCUUUUGGUUCAGCUCUGUGCUGGCAGCUGAAAUAUUACCAAGACACCCAGAGCACUAAGCCAAACCCUGUGGCUGGGUAGGUAAAGCUGUUUCUGUGGCUGAAGGGCCUGGCAUAAAAAUGGAUUUUAUAGAAAGAUACAGACAGAAUUGGUCCAAGCCUGAUGGUGCAGGGAGAUAUCCCUGGCAAGUUCUCCUCCUUAUUCAGCGUGGCUUUCCAUCAGUUUUUUUCAUUUCCAGUAGGUCACCUGUGUACUAUGAUGACUUAGGGGAGAGCAUCUGACACUGUCACCCAGAUGGCCUGGCUACAUGGACAGGUAUCAGAACGGAGCAGCUGCUGGAGCUGGCAUGAAUCGCAGAGCUGCUUCAUUUCCCUUCACAGACUCUUGCCUGACUCAUUUUUUAUUAUGUAGCUUGGCUUCCUGUCCCUGGCUCUCUCCAGGCAGCUGAAGUUUCAUGAUAAAAGCAGCAAAAUCCCCCUACUAGGCUCCAAACUGGACUUCCUUAAUGAGAGACACCAGUGCUAUCAUUCAGACAUCAGUCCCUGCCUCAAGUCUUUUGACUUUUUAGCAAACUUCAACCCUUGCCACUUGGCAGAACCAUGAUGCUGUGUGUUAUUGUAGGCACUAUUUACAUGGGUUCUGCUAGUUCAAAAGCAAUCAGUGGAAAGAGAUUGUCAGGGACCCUUUCAUGGGGAUGCUUCUGUAUAAAGAUACAGCUCACAUUGAGCAUGAUGCUUUCUCAAACAUUUCUGUAUCUAGUUGAGAUUUCAUUGAAGUUGGUACUUUUUGUAGUCAAGAUGAGACCCAUCUAAUGGUUAAAUAAUUACUUACAUGGCACAACAUUUCCUGUUACCUCUACUAUUACAGAUCAUUUUGUUAACAUGGGCAGAACCAGCAGCUCUCACAUUUAACGUCAGCCCCUGGAGAAUUUUGAUCACUCAAGUUGAAUGUAGUUGAAAAACAAAUCUCCUGGUAAAAGUUAUGUGACUCAGUAAAGGUCUCCCAAAGUCCUCACUCCUCCUCACUUUGAUUUCCUGGUCUGUGACAAUCAUAUACAUUAUAUCACAACUAUAGAUUGGACACCAAGAUGAAAUCUUUGCCUGACUUUUGGAUACGUACCAGUAAAUACAGAAGUCUACGUUUAUACCUAUUAAAAAAAUUAGCCAUACUUAAGAAAGAAAUACAGAGCUAGCUGAAGAAAGCACAAAUCAAAUCCAAAUAAAACAGUCAUUCUAGGCUUCUUGUUA